RNAcentral lists this ribosomal RNA (200 nucleotides) under uncultured bacterium. RNAcentral's name for it is "partial 16S ribosomal RNA". It matches the Rfam family "Bacterial small subunit ribosomal RNA", at positions 8 to 216 of the family's 1533-position model. The record is from RNAcentral.
AGAGUUUGAUCAUGGCUCAGGAUGAACGCUAGCGGCAGGCUUAACACAUGCAAGUCGAGGGGCAGCAUUUAGUUGGCGACCGGCAAACGGGUGCGGAACACGUACGCAAUCUACCAUUACCUGGGGCAUAGCCCGGAGAAAUCCGGAUUAACUCCCCAUAACAUAAAUGAGUGGCAUCACUUGAUUAUUAAAAAUUCAUU